Molecule: long non-coding RNA, 1186 nt
Filed under: Homo sapiens (human)
Lineage: Eukaryota; Metazoa; Chordata; Mammalia; Primates; Hominidae
Description: HSALNT0242507
Source: RNAcentral
GAGCAACAUGGUGAGACCCCCAUCUCUACAAAAAAUUUUAAAAAUUAGCUGAGUAUGGUGGUGUGGACUUGUAGUCCCAGCUACUUGGGAGGCUGAGGUAGGAGGAUCACCUGAGCCCUAGGGAGGUUGAGCCUGUCUCCAAAACAUAAGAAGUUAUAAUUUGAUUUGAAGCACCAAAGGAGAAGUGGACCAAAUAAGCCCCGGCUCCGUGGGAACAGCGACUUCAGUUAGAAGCUGCAGUUCUCAGCUAGGCUGGGAGAGAGAGGCAUGGCCAGAAUCACCCCGGGAGCUAUUCACAGAAUAAACAUUUUUUUCUUUUUCUCUCCUCUCAAGAAUAUCAGACUCUAUUGGGGAACAUGGGGAAACAAUUACCAGGUGAUUCUGAUCCUCCCAUUGGGAACAUCUGCCCAAGAGGAACUCAGGCUGGGCACGGUGGCUCACACCUGUCAUCCCAGUGCUUUGGGAAGGGAGGUGGGAAGUUAAUUGCUACAUUAAAAGCUUAAAGGAAAUAUUUUAUUUCCUAUUAGUCUGUAUUCACGUGUCAGGGCUAUUUCCUGAUUUUUUUUUUUUUUUCUAGAAAAAGCCAUAACCAUUUAGUUGUUAUCAUGCCUAGCUUGCAUUUGCAUAACAUCUGAUAGUUUUUUCUGAAGUAUUUAGCCUAUAAAUUCAUAGUUGAUCUUCAUGGAAACCCCCUUUUUAGAGUGUUACAGCUUUCAGAUGAUCCAGAGGCCUAACCACAGAUGUGGCCUUGCCCACUGGUAAAGAGGUCCGACUGAGACAAGUAAAGGCUCAGGUGCCUCAGUGGGCGGUACAACAACUGAACACUGGAGGCUACUGCAGGUGUGUUGGGACAAGUGCCACAUCUCAAAUCAGGAGACUUGGGUUUGAAUCCUGGAUCUCCUGUUUCCCAGUUUUGUGACCCUUCAGUCACAGUUUCCUUACUGUCAGAAGAGUAACACCCCCAAGGGUUCUUGCCACCUGGCCCUGCUAGGCACUCAGUAGCAGACCUGAGGUUCCUAGAUGCCAGGUGUCUGAAGAUGACUAUGACACUCUCAAGGAGACUGGGCUAGUCAAGGAAAGCAGAUGCGGAAAUGGUGACGUGAUCAAGUGCUGUGGCUGCAUAUUAGAAGCAGUAGUUGAACAAAUGAUGUAGGGUUCCAGGCCAUGUCUGUCCUAACAGAACUGU